UUUCCUCAGUUGGAGCCUGAAUGGAGGAACAGACAAUCAAACCAAAGAGCUUUUCUUUUCCCAGGUAUUAAUGCAUAGCUUAGGUAUAUUUUCAAGAUCCUUUAUGCAUAUUGCAUGUAAUAAAGAGAUUAUGCACAAUGAGCAUAAACUUACAAUAUUGGUGACAUCCUACCCCACAAGUUGUGAACAAAUAGAACCCUUUAUGCA
Molecule: long non-coding RNA, 207 nt
Organism: Cucurbita maxima (winter squash)
Lineage: Eukaryota; Viridiplantae; Streptophyta; Magnoliopsida; Cucurbitales; Cucurbitaceae
Exons: 2
Source: RefSeq, a predicted model, not a curated record